Molecule: long non-coding RNA, 17828 nt
Filed under: Coffea arabica (coffee)
Lineage: Eukaryota; Viridiplantae; Streptophyta; Magnoliopsida; Gentianales; Rubiaceae
Description: long non-coding RNA (CARA_LNC001070)
Source: RNAcentral
GGGGAUAGUGAUGCUGAGGUCACUAAUCACUCACAAAAUGGUGGCUUAAACAAAUGUUCCUAUGGGACACAGAGUCUUUUUCUCUGUGCUUGAUACUCUUUUUCUCAAUAAUAAAGAGACAUAUGCUUUUUUGUUGUACCAAAUUCAAUUCUACUUUCAUUUUGAGAUGCUGUCCCCUACUGCUUGGAUGGAUACGUAUACAUAUACAUAUAUAGUCGUAGAUGAAAAAAAGGAUAUAAUAAAAAAUAUACUCCAUCAUGUAUUGACCUUUUUUUUCUUGUUCUUUUUUAUGAAUGGAAAAAGGAACUAAUCAAAGGAAAAGGAUACUUCAAUAUCAUGAUGAUCAACCAUGUGACAAACAUCCCAAUAAUGAAGUGCUUCGUAUGAUUGUUAUUUGAUUCUUCUUGGGCUCUUCUACUAUGUCUACACUUGGUUUUGAGAUUUUUGUUCUCAUUGUAAACCCUUUAUCACCAAUCAUUAACAAAAAAGAAGAAAGGGGAAAAAAAGUGUAUUUUCCCUACAACAACAACAGUAAUAAUAAGAGUAAAUCUUAUAUAUACUAACAGUGUAUGCACCGGCCAUCACUGUUAGAUUCAUGACAUUUGUGCAAAAGUUGAGUUUCAAAUUCAAAUUUUGUAUAAUUGUCAUUCAUCCGACGUUAACGGUGAUUAAUCCUAAUAAUAAUAAUAGUUCAGAAGCCGAGUUAGGAGGAGUCUAUAUUGGUGGAGUUUUUGGAGUCUAAACUCCGCUUUUCAAAUAACACUAAUAUUGUUUGAACAUUUCAAACUGUUAACUACAUGCUUAAUUAGUAAUUAAGAAAAUUGUUAUGGCCCUUGAGCUAGUGAAUCAUUGAUUGGAUAACUGUUGUGAUCAAUAGUGAUGGAAUUCAAGAAGUCAACUAAUAAAGUCUCCAUCCCCAAAAUCCAAUAUAAAAACAAAUGAAAACUUACUAUCCCACUUUUAUUAUUACCCAUUUUCUUAGAAAUUUCAGUUUUAUUAUACAUGCACUCAGCUUUAUGUUUAAUUUUUGAAGAUCACAUUUGACCCAAAAAAAAAAGAAAAAGAAAAAGAAAAAGAGAUGCAGAAAAUUUACCUUGAGCGUAAAAAUGGAGUCCGCCAUAACAGUACGAACUUCUCCGCAUCAAGCAUAUUCUUUAGUCUAAUUAUUGGCCGAAAGAAUGAAAGAGUAGCAAGAAAUAGCCAGGUAGGUUGUGGCUGUCUAAUUAUAGCAAGCAAGGUUGUUAAACGAAGUCUAAUCAAAUAAUUAGGCACCUAAACACACCAUUGCUUGCACCCUCGGAAUCGACAGAACCUGCCUCCAUUAGCCGUUCCAAAGGAAAUCGACAAGGUUUAAUUAAUUAGGAGCUUUGCGUGUCAUUUGGACGUGUACGCUGUACAUAACCAACCUCUCAAUUUGAUCAGUAAUUUACACUAUUAGCAUGAAUAAUACAAAAAAAAAAUUGUUUUUUUUUUUUAAUAAUGGACAUGAUUAAUGGGGCUUGUUAGCAUAAACAAAGGAAAGUAACUACUCCCAUCACAAUUAACAGAAAAGCAAGAAAUCAAAAUUGACCCGAAAGUGUAAACUAAUAAGCAAACUCAAUUUUUGAUUUAAUAUGAACAUGGCUUUACAGAUUUUUUGGAUUCUUGUUUUGCAAUUAAUAUACAGUUGCAAUUGUGACCACACAAGAAAAAGAUGCAAUUAAUGUAUUUUUUUUUUUUUAAGUUAGUGACUGUAGACAAAAGGGCAGGGGCAUGAAUUUUUUUUUUUUUUUUUUUUAGAGCUAGCUAAGCUAGUACCACUCCCAUAAGAAUGGCUCUUCAAGCCGGAAUACUGGCUCGGCUGCUGGAGCCGGAUGCAGCUGCGGCCACCACGAUGAUGAACCGUGGAAGCAAUUAAAUCCAUCCAGAUGGUCUGUGGCACCUGUGACAUCAAAGGAAAGAUCGGGCAGGUCAAAAAAUGUGUCAUCAAUAUCAUCGUCUGUGGAUGGAGAAUUUGAUGAUUCUUGCAUGUUGUGCAAGGAAAAAUCAGUUGAUGAAUGACAGUUAGUCAGCUCGGCUUGGAUUGGCUCGGCUUCGGCUCCUCCGCCGUUUUCACCUGGAAAUGUAGCGGCUGCAGCCUUGGCAGCGGCAGCUUGGAUGUCCUUAGGUGAAGUGGUGGCGGGACGGGGAAGUUCAUGAGCCAAAUGAGGGAAGUUGAGAUAAGCCGAGUGGCCUUUGAUUGCUAGAGCUGCUACAUCAUGGGCUCUAGCCGCCAUUUCAGCCGUGGGAUAUGUUCCGAGCCAUAUUCUUGAUUUCUUCCUUGGCUCCCGAAUUUCAGACACCCAUUUGCCCCAGUUGCGCUUGCGAACUCCCCUGUAGGUCGGAUGCUUCUCAUCGUCUCCAUUUUUAUGCUUCUUCCUAGGCUGAUUUUCAUUGCCAUUGAUCUUCGCCACUUGUUGCAGUUCUUGAGAGCUCUCUUGGGCUUUGCCGGCUUUUGCAGUUCUAGUGGAAGUAGUGGCCUUUGUGCUUUGGUUGGAGGAGGAGGAGGACGACGAAGUUGAAGUUGUUGAAGGUGAAUUUAAGGCAUUGGAAGUGGUAGAAAAUGAGGAGGAAGAGGAAGUGGUGGUGGUGGUAGAAGAUGAAGAAAGGUUGCUGUCGUGAUUAGCUAGACUCCCAAUGUUGAUUUGUUUGCCCAUGAUUAUAAGCGGGGGCGUUGUGCUUGCUGCUAAGCUAAGCAUAGAGAGAAGAAUGUGAGUGUUGUGGGGGUACCUAAAAUAGGGAGCUUGAGGCCUCUAGGAUUCUAGCACAAAUUGCUGUUGAUUUAAAUAAUGCAAAAAUGAGCGAAAUGAAAUUUCCAAAAAUUAAAAAAAAAAAAAAAAAAAGAAACGAAGGGCAUGGGACCUUAGCAAAAGGGGACUACAGUUCAGCUAUUCUGUAGGCCAUGUGGCAAUUUCAUUAAUUUAUGGUCUUUGCCCAUUUCGAGAGCAUUUACUGACAUGCAUUUCACCGAGGCAGGAUUGCAGGAACUUCUUGUUUUGGACCUCUCCUUCCUCAGCAUCAUCACUAGUAGCAGUGCGUAAAAUUCUAACCCAAAAAAAAAAAAAACAAAUGGAAAUUCAGUUAGGAUCCGAAUCCACGCUAAUCCGAAAUAUAAAGGACUAACCAUGUUAAAAGUUGUACCAUUUGAUAUGAAUGAUCAAAAAUCCAUGUCAAUAUAAUGCUGUUUAGCCUUAUUUUUGGCCCCGUUUAGAGUUGCACUGCGUUUACAAAGAAAAGCGCUUUUAAGUACUAAAACCAUUUUUACGAUUCUUGACCACUAAUUUCUUGUAGUUUAAGGAGUUCAAUUUUUUGAUAACUUAAAAAUACUUUUGUUUAAACGCACUUAUGUGAGAAGCAUUUCUUUAUAAAUUAUCGCAACUCAAUACUAGAGCUUUAUUCGAAAUGAUCAAGAAUUAAUGUCAAUAGUGCUGUUUAGGGUGCGUUUGAUAAAAUUGAAAUUUGAAAACUAAAAUCUAAAUUCAUUAAAUUAUUGAAUUGUUAAUUGCUAAAUUUGAUACAUUUGAGCAUAUAUCACAUUAUAUGAUAAGUGAAUAAUUUAUCAUGUAUUUUUAGGAGUAAGAUAUUCAGUGCCACUUAAUUAACUAAGAUAUUCAAUUUUUUUAUUAUCAAAUGCGUCUGAACAUGUUAAGAUCUGAAUUUAUUAAAUUUAAGUGUUGAAUUGUACUACGAAUCAUCUUAGAAACCUCUCAUGAGAUUUCUAACAAUUUCACUCAGCUCCUUUCAGGUUUGAAUAAUUGCACCAACUUUCGUUCAUGUAGUAAAAUGAUUAUAAUAUCUUUCACUUAUAAAUAAUUUCUACAAAAAAAAAAACCCUACAACUAUAACUAAGCUUUCAUUCUAAAGCAACAAUUACCACACAAAAUAAACUCUUAUUCUCUCUCUCCAACUCUCGCUCCUACCUUCUUUCUGGUACACUUUAUAAUCCACUAUUUUUCCAUAAUUGCCAUCUACAUAAUCAUCUAAUACAUCUCGAAUCCUCAUUAUUAUGGAAAUAGACACUCUCUUCCUUUUUUUGUUUUCCUUUUUUUUUCUGUAAGUAGUAUUAAAUUGAAAUUGUCAAAUGAUAAGUUGCCGGAUCAGAUUUGUUGUCAAACUAACUGAAAGUGAAAUGGAUGACGGUAAUACAAAGUGUAGACAAGAAAAUAUAAGUGAUAGCUAAAAAAGGAACAUGGAUUUGGGAAGGUUACGUUAUUACGCCAAUUGUGUAAAAAAAAAAAAUUGGGAUAUAAAAAUUGCAAUCAAAUUUGCCUAAAGACAUGGGAUAUGAUCUCUAGCGUUGCUUUUGGUUACUCUGUGUUAGUAUUCUUGGUGGGUUAAAUUAUUUUAACAUCAACAAGAUUGCAACCCUUUAAAUUGAGUUUGGAGAGUGACAUUGGUCAAUUCAAACAAUGAAUUUAGGCAAAAAAAAAAAAAAAAAAGAGAGAGAGACUAAAGAUUAGGUUGAAUGCAAACUUUAAUUGUGACAGUUGAUUUACAUGGGAAAUGUUGGGAGGUAUUAGUAGCCUGUCAAAAUUGUGAAAAUAUGAAAAUUAAAUUGAAAUGAUUUAUUGAAUUCAUUAGAGUGGUGAUUAUGUUGUUUAUGAUAGUUGCAACGGGGAGGAAAUUUAUUAGAGCGUUUUUCCCCCUUCUAAAUAACAAAGGGAUAAUUUAGGAUUUUUUAGAAUAAAUUUAGCAUACUAGGUCUAUAUUAUCAUUGAAACGCUAAUCAUAAGGGAGGUAAGUGUAAUUUUUUAAACUAGAAAGAAGCUUUCUAAAGUAGUUAGAAAUCGCAAGGCAGGUUUGUGAAAUUAUCCCAUUGUAUUGUCAAAUAAGGUCUUAGUCUUAUUUUACGCUGUCCAUGUUAACAUUGUCGAGGUAACGGUACUGUGAUGACGAUGUGUUCUUCAAAUUUCACGUGUAUGCAAAUUUUGGCUUCGCUUUGGGGGUAGAUGAUAGCCGUAGGCCCUUCAUUUUGAGCCCUUUGUUUUGGCAAUCUAAUAUGGGGUGAGGACGCUUGUGGGGUUGUUAAUGCCGCCGUCCAUUGGAAUUUCCAUCCCUCAGCGGUACACGCAAUGGUCUGCAUUAAAUUUUGGGUUUUGGUAGGCAUUCAACGGCUUUGUCAAUUUCUAUUUACAUCAAUGCACCAUUAGUCGUAAAAAUAGAAAGCCAAUAAGUCAAAAAAAAAAAACCUUCCUCAAUUCAAAACUUCGCAAUCUGAGACGUACUUUUGCUUCUUAUGUCUGAGUUGUCAUAGCAUUUCUUAAAUUUUGAAGCUAUUUUUUUCUUUAAAAUGCUAGAAAAUUAAAUCUUCGAGAAUUAUCAUGUUGAAUCUAAAUAACGGUAGAAGUAUUUAGACGGUGCUGUCACUUCCCAUGACGAGCGCUCAAUAUGAUGCACGUUUUUACUGAGGCAUUGUCGUAACGCCUUCAAUUUGUUUUAGGGGAACUUUUUGGAAUAGGCUAACUGUGUAGCAUGAUAGGAGACAGGUACAUGAUAACUUUUUGAAAUAUGCACGUUCACUAAAAAGUUAUUUACAUAGAAGCGUCAAAAUAAGUGACCGAGUAGGUUUUGACGGAUCAUAAUUAGGUAACGAGUAUAAUUGAAUUAAUUUAUUUAAAUAAAUGAAUAUUUAUUUAUAGCCAUUUAAUAAAUGGAUACGGACAUAUCUAAUUGUGAGUCACUUAAAAUUUUAAUUAUUUUUUUUUCUAUUUUUUAGCAUAUUAUUUGACAAAAAAUAGCAGUACUUUAUUGUUCUUAGAUUGGUAAGAAAAUUCAAAUUUGUUUGCUUAACGUUCACUAAAAGUUGAGUUUAAAUUUAUAAUUAUUUUUAAAUUGAUAUAAAUGGGUGAGUCGAGUUAACCCACAACCCAUCAAUUAUAUGGAUUUUAUUGGAUACCCAUUUCGACCAUUUGAAAAUUAAUGAACUGGUUUGGGCGGGUAAUUGGUGGGCGAAUUUGGACGGAUCAACACAAUUGAAUUGUGAUUGACACCUCUAGUUACCGUUACCUGUGAUUGACACCUCUAAUUGAAUUGUGAAAGAAAGAAAAAAAAAAUCAUAGAGAAGAGCACGAGUCUUUCCUCUUUUACUUAAUUUGCUUCUUCCGGUUAAUCUCCUUCAUUCUUCCUCAAAUCAAUGCUACCAUUUCUGCUUAUCAGUUGGAGAAGACAAAGAUACAUCGAAUAAAGACCGUUCAAACUAAAUUUUCCAUUCAACUUGUUGAAUUUUAGGUGGGGUGCAAAAAAGACAAGAACACGCCUUCUUCAAUUAAAAAUGCAUGAACGUGUGCAUGCGAAAAAAAGAAGUUGGUAAAUUCAUCUUCGACGCAAAAAAGGGUGCUGCUGCAAAAUAAUUUUCAUGUGGUUUUUGUCACCAAGGAAGAUGACAACAUUGAAUCAACCCAGGCACACAUGAGCCCUGACAGGGAAAUAAUAAUAAUGUACUGUGUUAUCGUUGUUUUCUCUCUCUCUCUCUCGGAUCUUUGUACAGUGUUUUGGUUAUUGAAGACCAGGACUUAUGCCGCUAGUAGUUCUUCUUCUUGUUACAAUUUUCAAGAAAUCUGUAAAAUUAUACUGUACUGCUACUACUAGUAGAGUCGGUGGAUCCGGAAAACAUUCUACAUCCGAAAUUUGUAUAUAGUAUAUAGUAUAUACUGCUGGGGUUACAGUACACAUGGGUAACAUGCUAGUGGCCCCAUGCUGGUUUAAAAAGAAGGGUCGGCCUACCGAAGAUUAUUUGACUGUUUUUCAUCGAAAAAUUAUGUCGUUUUUCGUAAUUAUAUUUUUUUAUUAUUUUUUUUUCUCACAUACAUCAAAUCGUUACAGUAAAUUUUUCAUGAAAAAUACAAUCCAAACACGACGCGUUUGCUGGCCAAGUAGUCAAUUUGUCAAGUGAUGUUUUUCUUUUUACUUCAUCCCUGGCGGGGUGACACUUUGCAGAGAUGGAAUUGGUGGAACUUUUCCCCUUUUCCUUGAGCUAUGAAUCCCUCUUGUGUGGUGAAUGUGAUGUUGACGAGUGCUAAUGAAUCCACUAAUAAAUCAAUCAUGAGAUUAGUGUUUAAUGACUAUACUACUACAAUUGUGAGCGUCGAUAGCGUGGCGCUUUUUCUUUUCAUGGUACACUGCUACUUUCUUUUGAUAGAAAGAUCGGAAAUUUUUUAUUUAUAUCAGCUUCAAGAGCAGAAAUAACAAAAUAAGGUAGAGAGUCAUUUCAUGUACAAGAAAUAUGGAAUUGAUAAUGCAUGUUUAGUUAAAAGGCGAGCAAUUUUAUUGUUAUUUCUAAAAAAAAAGCGGAGAAAUUAUGCAGGUGAGAAAUGUCAUCUCCAAUAAGAAUACCAGAACGAGAAUCAUAUGGUUCAAAACUUUCAAUCAUCUCGACGACGCUUUGAGAGUCAACUUCAAGAACAACCGGUUGCAGAUUCAUGGUACAGUUCUUUUAUCAAGCAAAAAUUGCUUUGAUCACUCUAAUUCUAAUUUUCGUACAAUAUGUUACUGAAAAAAAAACACACACACACAUUCUUAUACGCUAAAAUACACUAAUUUUACAAGUACAAAUAAUUAACCUACUAAUUGGAGGCAUGCCGCCAAUCGAUGUUUUUCUUUUUACUUAAUUCUUGCGUGACAAUUUGCAGUUUUAGAAUUGGUGGAAUUUUUUUUUUUGCUUUUUUACCUCGAGAGAUAUUAAUCCUUCUUGUUUGGUGAUGCUGAGGAGUACUAAUGAACCCAAUAAUAAACUAAUCAUGAGAUUAGUGCAAACUUUGUUUAAUCAGUGUGUUAAUAAUUUUCGCUUAUAUCAUAAAUAUAUUUUUUUCAAUCACCAUUUUUAUCUUUUCAAAUUCCAACCACUCUUUCUUCCCACAUACAUCAUAUCACAUAGAGUGGUACAAUAUUUUUUUUUUCAAAUAAUUCUCUAUCCAAGCGUAUUACAAUUGUGAAAAUUUCUUUCUUGACAUCAUUUACUGUUAUAAUUAAAAACAGUUAAAUCGUUUGAAUUCUAAUUUUCAUGCAAUAUGUUAGUGAAAAAGACUUUCCAUUAUUAUAAAAUGCAUAAAUUUUUCUGGCAAAGCGGUUGACCUAGUGGAUAAAGAGUUAAUUUGUCAACGGUUGAUUUUCGUUAUACCUAAUUAUUGGGUGACACUUGGAAGUGUUAAGAGUUGGUGCAGCAUUUUGUUUUUCUUCCAUAAGAUACGGUGAUGUUGACGAGUAGUGAUGGACCCAAUAAUAAGUUAAUCAUGGGAUUAGUGCUAAACUAUUUGAUUGAUGUGGUUUAUUUGGUGGCUGGAAUCAUGAUCCUAGUGUUUCUUUUCAAUCACCAGUGAGAUAAAUGGACUAGCCUAUGAUUAUUUUACUUGGCUGUCAUUUAAUUUCCAUCAACUCAAACGUGAGCAAGGAAAGAUUGUAUUAGCCCUUCUAGAACUUAGCCUUCUGUUGAUUCAUUAUUCUUUUGAGAAGAACAAUCAAAAGUAUACUCCUUGAGCUGUUGACACGACCAAAUUGUUACUUUCAAGGCACUGAUUUUCACGAGCACCCUGAUCUGGACGGAACGGUUGGUGGCGGUUUUGUGUAGUUUGCACAGUAUAUAAUUUUUUUUGCAUACGACGUAACUUUAUUUGGAUCAUGCAUAAUUUUAGAAUAAAUUUUUGUAAAUUCCGCACAUAUUAUCAAAAUUGAGAUACAAGAAAUGAUUUGAACUGUAUAAAUUUUUUUGAUCAAAUCAUGAUCGCGAACUGUCUGAAACGAUUGUCUCUUACAACCAUCCCGCCCCUCCUCCUCCGAUGGAGACACCUCGUCUAAAAUUUAUUCUUGUAAAAGUUAAAAAGUAGUGCCCACCACCUAUACAUAGAGACAAGUUAGGUAUUAGGGUAAAAUACUUUAAAAAGUAAAAGUAACUCAAAAAGUGUGAAGUAAUGAAGUCUUAUCGAGCAUUAAUGACCAGAAGUCGUUUGAUCAAAUAAUAUAGGAGUUCUAUUUAAUUUGCAUUACCAUUUAGUUGGGAGAAUAGUAGGAUUUUAUUUUAAAUUUUUUUUCUAAUAAGAGAGGGAUGUAAUUUAUGAAACAGGAAAGGGGCAGGAAUUCAGAACUGCAGGACCUCUACCUAAGAGAACAAUAGGUUUGGUCUGAUGGAAAAUUACUAAGUUAUUUUUUCACCAAAUUUUUGCACUAUAAAAAGGAAAAACAAAAUCAGCUCUAGUCACCUAUGAGAACUUUUUUAGAGAUUCUAGAGAGAGGGGGUUUGCGUUGUAUGAUAAGCGAGAAAAGAGCAUAUGAAUUGCGAAGUUUUGAAUUCAAAACCUCAUACUUGAAAAAAGAAAUUCUCUUCUUAUUAGUUUAUGAAUUGCUAUUAUUUAUAGGAGUUUGCCAUAUAUUUAAUCCAAGAACUGGCGGACCUAUAAAAACAUAAUCGUCACUUGAUUACUUGUGAGCAUAACGGUAAGUUGAUCCUCGCCUGCGAUUAAUUUAUGGUAGACUUGGAAUUUUUUUAGAGUCAAAAGCUUAACUUCUGUAUUACAUUUUUCUUUAGACAUCUCUUCUUCCUUUUUCUUUUUCCUUUUCUCUUCCUUUCCCUUUAGACAUCUUUUGACAGAUAAAAAGGUACAACAAUAUAUAUUGUCUUGUACGUCGUAUCUUAUCAAAUUUUAUGAGAAAUUUGGUGCCUUACAUUGUCUUGUAGGUCAUAUCUUAUCAAAUUUGUGAGAAAUGUGUGUUUGGGUUGCAAUUUUCUAAAGAAAAAUUGCUAUAUUUUUCGUGGACACAUUUUCCGAUCACCUUUUUACCUUGCAUUGAUCAAAUCGCUACAGUAAUUUUUUCAUAAAAAGUCUAAAUGUAGAAAAAUACAAUCCAAACAAAACUAGAUGUCUUGUACAUGUGGUUGGGGCCCAAAUAUCGUAGAUGGGUCUCUUUAAUUUGUUCAACUAAUUAAACUUUUGUCCCAGUUUUUGCAUCCAAAAGACUUCACCUUGAGUGUUUUAGCUGAAAAAUAAUUCUGAGACUUCAACUGCACCAAAUUAAUAUGGCUCUUCACUUUGCAUUCCUCCACAUUUAUUAAUUUAUACACACUGCUAAAUCAUAAACUUUCCACCCAUGCAAUCUCCACUCCCAACUAGAUUUUUUUUUUUUUUUUCAUUUUCCUGAACUAGACCUUUACCACUUAGUAAGUUUUUUUUUUACAUUGUCAGUGUGCAUUUUUUUUUUAAACUAGCCGGUUUAAAUCAUUGUCACAUAAUAUAAAUUCAAAUCAUGGAAAACAAAUCACUACACUACAUCAUUAUUAGUGUAUAAAAAUUUAAUCCCUUUAACUUUUAUCCCGUUAUGAUGAUCUUGACAGUGUCUCUGUUUUUUAAUUCUUCAUAUUCGGUGUCAACGCAUUUUUGUCUCCAAAAUCAGCUGGCUAUUUGAAAAUGUAUAGUAUCCUUGUAAAUUGAGCAAGUCAGAGGGGAAAAUUGAUCGGGCCGAAGCAUGAAGAACUAAAUUGGAACAAGUCCAAGAGGAUAAAUCUUCAAAACCUGCGACUAUCCACAGCUUGAUCAACCCAACAAUGGCAAUUAUUGGAGUGUCAAUAUAUCCCAAUUAAUGGGGUGUCCCAAAUAAAUAAGGUGCUGUCCCAAUUCUGUCAUGUUCCAACUUCCAAAUCUGCUAUAAAUAUCCCCUUUUUUCUAGGGCAAUAAGCCUCGCACUUGUCAUUCUGUGAUGCAUCUUGUGUGGUCCUUUCAGCUAGAGAAUGCAACAAUUAGCCCCUACUUCUUUCUUCUCUUGUCUUGAGUUUGUACAGCCAUAUAUAUAUACAUUCAUUCACUAAUGGUACUUAGAAUAGACUAAAAACACCGUUAAACUUUUCCUAUUUUAUUCACUUUAAUUACUAGUAAACUGGGAAUCUCUCCCAUGCUGCGUUGCAAGAGCUAUUGAGUAUUAAUCCAUUCCUAGGAAACAUAUCUUUCAAAGUUGGAAUUUAAUGCCACUAUUUUAUCUAACAAUGACCCUUUUUUCUUUUCUUUGACUCUUCUUAGCCGGGUAAAACUAAGGUACUACUAGUAGGCCAAAGCAUAAAUGCCAGCGUUGGAUGGGUUCUUAUUUGCCAAAAGAAAAAACAAAAUGUACUAUAUCAUUGCAAUUUCAAUACGUACCUUUUUAAUAUUUCACCAAUAGCACGUUACGAAAAAUGUCACAGUAAUUUUUUUUUUUUUUUAAAGUCGUUCUAAAUAAUCUACUAUUCAAACACCUAGUUAAUUAAUGAAGCUUAGAGGGCAUCCCUAAACAUUUUGCGACUUGGAAGGUAAAAACUGAUCAACUCUGCUGGUAACUAGACCUGAAAUUAGCAUGUAUAAACAUGCCCAUGAGAUUGUUUUGAACUCUUGCUUUGAGUUGGUGCCAAGCACUAAAUAGAAUGAUUUGUGUCCAGCAGUUUUUGAUUUGAUAUCAGGGAGGAAUAACUCCAUUUCCCCCAUGUAUACUCACCUGCAUUGCAAUUUGCAAAGAAGAGUACUUUCCAAAAUGGGGUCCUUAGUGGUUGGGAUAAAAUAAGAGUGGGCAUGCAUGGGACUUUGCUGUCUCAUGCACCUAAAUUAUGGGUGUUGCAAGUCCCCACCGCAGCAGUGCUGUACCUUUCUUGAAAUUUGCUUCUAACGAAGGCUGUGACAUCAAUGUAACCACUGGUAUUUAAGGCCUUGUGUAAUGCAAGGACCUUCCUCAUUUAAAUACAAAACCUAACUUGGGGCCUCUAUCUUUCAUAUCUAAUGUUAAUUGAUUGUGAGUUGAACAGUUGACCCCUUAAAUUCCAAGCCCAAAAAACUAAGGGACAAACCACUUGUUGCCAAGAUAUGCCAUUCAUUCUCCACAUUUCCUUUUCCAGCAAAUUGGUACUGGCAAACACAAAAUAUAUAUAUAUAUAUAUAUAUAUAUAUAUAUAUAUAUAUAUAUAUAGCCUAAAAAUAAUUGAGGACAUUAAAGUUUUUUUAUGACGUUAAGAUAUAUGGAUACUAUAUUUGUAUCCAUGAUCAAUGUAUUUUUUUUUCGUUUUUGUACAAACAAGUUUAGAUCAUGCUAAUUCAUUAUAACCCAGCAAGGAUUUCAAGGAACUUGCAUAUAUAUAUAUAUAUAUAUAUAACUUAUAGCAAAGCUUGGCAUAUGAAUUGCAAUCAACUUUACUUGUGUAUAAGAAUGAUAAACAUGCAUAUAAAAACAUGGAUUAAUCUUUUCUACACUGUCAGCGUUGGAUAAAUGACAACUAUGCAAAAUUUAAAUUUGAAACACAUAUCAUGAAUCAAACGAUGAUAGUGUAUACACUGUCAGUGUAUAUAAGAUUUACUUUAUAAGUAUAUGUAUGUGUAUAUAAAUACUACUCUAUCGGAUUGAUAAACAUAUAAAUCGAUAAAGGCUUGACUAAUACCGAUAGAGAUUUUUAAUUUCGAUUAGCAAAUCGUCAACUUGGUCCCCAAGUAAUUAUCAAACCUCUGCAUAGAAUUUUACUUUCAAACCCCAAACUUUUCUCUGUAUGCGCCAAUUAGCUAUUAGUUUAUCUUCAUGGAAGUCUACACUACUGGAUAGUGUAAUCUGGCAAAAGUCAAAAGAGUGAGAUGGGAAGAAAAAGCUACUUCCUAUAAUUUUCAAACGAUUUUACUUUACUAGGGAAACGACGGGAAGCAAUUGGCAUGCCAUAAAGAAUAUUUUGUGCUUUGCGAUGAAUUGAAGAAAAUCUACGACGUUAAGAAUGCUCUAAUAGAUUUUCUGUGUUGUCUGUAUGUCAAAUCAUACCCAUUUGACUGUUUGGAAUGGGUAAAUUAGUGCUGACAUGAGCAAUAUCACCUCGUCCGCAGGAUUAUUUUAUCCCAUGAACAGGGGAUUAAUUCGAGUAGUUGUAAUGUUUCAUUUCUAUGUAUAAAAUAUAACCCCUACUAAUUCUAUUAAAAAUUUUAACUAAUGUGUUUCCAUUCAUUAUUUAAAAUUUUUUUACUAAUUUACCCCUGUUAAUUUAUAUAAAUUUUUUGAUUAAUUUGCCCCUACUAACAUCAUAAUAAAAGGACUAAAUUGCCCUUGGAUUAAAUUGCCCUUAUUAACCUUUGGAUAGAAGAUUAUUUGGGAUAAUUUUUUGAAAAAAAAAAGUACCGUAGCAUUUUUUUAAUGUGAUGUAUGUAAGAUAAAAAUGUGGUUGAAAUAUAUAUAUUUAUUAUGUAAUCAGACAAAUUUUUGUAAAUAACUAGCUAUCCAAACACGUCUUAUUUUCUCAACCAAAUUCUACAUAAAUACACAAUCCUAUUAGUUGAGUUUUGUGAACGAGGACUUCAAUAAGUUCAAACUCGGCCCAAAGAAAAAUCCCCUAUAUUGGCUUGGCCUCGGCUAGUUCGAAGCUCUUAAAUGGGUUUGAUUUUAAUCGAUUUAACCCUAACAGAGUUAAGGCCUAGCCUAUUAUUUAAUUGAAUUUCAAAUUUAGGUUAAAAAUUUUGGUCAAAAACCUAUUUUAAGGGUCCAAAUGUGCUGAGUUUGAGUGAAUGCAAAUGUUCAAAUAUCAAAAGCCUUGAUUGACUUUAUUAAAAGCAAAUGUUUAUAUCUCCAAUAAUUGAGAACCAAUCAAACACUAAAUAAGUUAAAUUAUUAAUUCGAAAAUGGCUCAAUUAGAAAUUAAUAAUCUGAGAAUAAAUUAUUCUAUGUCGUCCAGUUCUUGUCGAAGUGGCUGAGCUAAAGUAAGAAAGCAUGGUGGUUCCGCACUCAUUUUCUAAAUUGACUGUAUAUCAAAUCAUACCCAUUUGACCGUUUGGCCGGAAAAUGACCCCAAGAGCUGUGCUGGUACGCCAAAAAAUAUUUAAAAAUACAGACGAGAUUACUUCCCUCAGGGAUUUUUUCUUUGGGUCUUUUUCGUGAUUAGUAGCUGGCUCUAUGAUAUCUCUAAAUUUAUUCUGGCAUAGCAGGAUGUACUUUCUUUUUUUUCUUUUUUUUUUUUCGGUUUUAAGCAGCAGGAUCUCUUUUUGCCCUAGUUAGUAAUGGUUUUCUCAGUUCUGCAACUAAAAAAAAAAUAAAUUGAUAAAUAUUUCUAGGCUUCUGUAAUCAUUUGUAGUUUUUUUGUUACAAUGGUUUUCUUAAGAAACAAUUUUUCACCGAAUGGGCAACUUUUAAAAAAAUGUUUUUCAUCCUUUUUAUUCAAGGUCUCGCAUUGCGGGAAUUCAUCUCUCCCUUAUCAAGUACGUUUACUUGAACCAUUUGACAUUUAAAUUCAACGGGAUCAUCAGUGUAUACAAUACCAACACUGAUUCGAAAUUAAUUACUUGAAUUGGGUUCUCAUAAAUUCUCAAUCUCUUCCUUUUGCAUUCUUUAUAAUUGAUGGCCAGUAAGAGCAUUGGGUAUGACGGCAUUAAAAAUCUCCAGAUUUGGCUUUUAAGCUAUGGAUGAAGACUUCCUUCAAAAAAAAAAAAAAAAGAGCUAUCUAUGGAUGUACUUCUCGUACAUAUCAGCCUCUUAGUUGCAAAUUGGCCAAUAUUUCUGUGGUCCACUCCUUAAAUUAAAUUACAACUGAUCAAAUUGUUUAAGCUCAUGAGUCAGCCCUUAGGCUUUGAUGAUCAAAUUGCAGUCUGGAUCAACAUGUUUGGUAUUUGUCAAGACUUUUUUUUUUUUUUUUUUGCUGACGGAGUGGGUGUCCGGAUCAAUUCUUACGGGGCCCGACUAAUCCCAUUCCGACUCGGGAGGAGAGGCCCCAUCCCCCCGAACACGAUAAUCACGGGACUCGGACUCUUGCGGGCACUGGACACCAGCUCCUAAAGGAACUUGCUGAAACCAAUCGAGUUACCCAUGAGGGACAGACAAUUUGGUGGGAGACCUCACACCCCAUCAGGAGAGGUGGUGGCCACUGGCUGGGUUGUAUUUGUCAAGACAUUAGAAGCUUGGUAUCUGUCAAGAGUUGUAUUUGUCAAGACAUUAGAAGCUUGGUAUAUAUAUGAUCACUGUUGCAUCCCAUCCCACGUCCCUCCCGACCUCGACUUCGGCCUCCCUAUCAUAACAGCUGGCAUACACCAUCUGCACCCUCAAAUGGGUUGUCGUAACUGUACGAAGAGGGAAGAGGAGGAAAAUAAACACGCACGCACUCAAAAUUCUUUUGCACAUAUAAAAAAAACAUAGAAAGAGGAGAAUAAUUAAAACACAAAAAUAGCUCAAUAAUUUUAUUAAUUCAAAUUUCGAUAAUAAUAAUAAUAAUAAUAUCAAGUUGUAACUUUUUGUUUACGACAACUCAUAAUUUACAAAUCUCAACUUAGAGACUUUUUCUUGACUCAACUAUUCAAGAUUCAACUCAAACUCUCCAAAACUCAGACUCAUUCUUCAAGGAAGAGGAAAAGUGUACUACACCAAUAGUAUUUAUAGAUUGCGAACCUUUCUAAACAGACAGAGACAGAAUUGUAGAUUGAAAUUUAUUUGAAAAUUGAUUUGAAAUUUCCUAAACUAAUAUGAAAACUAAACAAACAGGACACCAAAACAAGAAAUAAAAGAAUUAAGAAACUAAAUACUAAAAUAGCUUGGUUUUGGCUUAAUUUCCUUCACGAAUGCUAGUCAUUAAUCCUCUCUUUAAAACCUAUCAAUACCCCUCAUGCUCCAUUCGUUCAAGGUAAUAAACAACUCCAAACUUUUUCGCUCUAAAAUUGUGAACAGCUGUUACUAAUUUAAGCAUCGGAUUUAAUCCGAGCGAACAGAUUCACGGCCCUGUAUUUGUGUUUGCAGGCCCUUCGUCGGAGGUUCCUCACGUAUCCAAUCCAUUCUGCUCGGUACCGACACUUGCGGAUUCCUACUACUUUAAUCACCAAGUCACCAUUAUCCUUUGUUCUGAUCACCACAAUUAGGGAACCCUUUGCUGAAACAUAGGUGAAAUUCCAGUUAAUAUUAACAGGGACUUGACAUUACAAAUCAAGCAUAAAUCUUGGCAGGAACUUGUCACUCUGACAAAAUAGUGACGUGAAAUAUGGUGCAUUCUGAUUCCAAAGACAAAGUCGUAAGCAUUCCGUACAGGCCUUUUGGAUUCCAUCUAGUUUUCUAGUCAUUUUGUUCUUUCAAAAUCACACUUAAUUACGAUUGUUUUAAGUUGUGGGCCGGAUAAUGUGUGUGUAUAGCGACUUAAGUGCUGAACAAAAAAACAGAAAAAGAAAAGGGAAUUCUAUAGAUUGUGGUAUAGAGAAGAACGCGCGGUACAAAGCGGGUCCGCUUUCCUGUGUAGGAGCCGGCGUCGCGGGGAAUUUUUUUUUUUUUAUUCUUGUUUUUGUUCGUCUAUUUUGGAAGUAGGGUGUGGAGUCACUUUCUUCUUUUACCAGGAAUCGUAUAGCAGUGAAUGUGGAGCCAUGCAAAAUUGAACGUUCGUCCACGUCAAUCGGUUUCUAUCUCUCAACAUGAAAAGACAAGCUUUGCAAGUGCAUGAAAAUGUGGGUCUAAGAACCAGUGUGUGAGUGUGUGUUUGGUAGGUAGAUCACUAAGAGAUGUUCUCAGUUUCUCUUGAGCAGUGGCAAAUGAUUGUUUGUAAGGAUACUAAAAUUGAUUCCCUUCCUUAGGCACCAAUAAUGUUAGGUUGAAGGGCAGGAAAUGAGAGGAAAGGAUACCAAUACCACUCAGCUAACUGUCCGAUUCUGAUGCCAACAAAGGAACUGAACUGCCAUGUUUUUCUUAACAAUUUCACACGCGACUUGAAACCUGUCAAAAAUCUGUGUUAAGAGACGUGGCAGUCAACAGAGCUCCUCCUCUUGAGUUAUUGAAAUCUUAGCUUUCGUGCACGUCGCACAUGAACUUUGUGGCUGUUCUGAAUCUUGCAUGCGCGAAGCCCCCCCCGCGAAAACAACAACUCCUCCUUUCUCUCCACAUAUUUUUUUGGGUUAGAUCACACCUAUUUGAAUUACUGUUUUUCGAAGUUUUUAUAGAAAAAUAUACUAUAAUAAUUUGAUAUAUAAAAGAUUAAAAAAAAAUUUUUGAAAGAAGUGUUCACGAAAAACGUAAAACGUACAAAAUUUUUACACAAAAAUUGCAAUCCAAACAAGGCCAAUGUUUGUAUAGACGGGCUUCAUUUUCGGGGUCUAGGUCUAGCUAAAAGGACGUAGCAAAAUAUGAGCAAAGAGCCGCGUACAGCGGUUCUUCUUUUUGAUUUACUGCAAUCUUAAGUUUCAUGCAUUACAUGAUCCAUUGACGUCGACCAUGUACUUGUCGCCCUCCUCCUUUCUCUCCACAUCUCCAUGCAUGGGACAUAUUAGAUAUUCAAAUAUUUUCAUCAAUUAAUUUGAUGACAAGCUUGCCUGAAGGCUUUGAACUCACUAACCGUUUCAGACAGCAAGCUCAUUUUUGUGUAGUUGUGCGUGUCUAAGCUUUGUAGAAGACAAGAAGAAAGUAAUGAUUGCAAUCAGAAAAUGCUGAAGUAGAAACUUGACAUGCCUGUUUGUAUAUUUUUUGGACGAGAAGAUUUACUCAGUUUGAUCCAAAUCUUGAGCCACAUAUCUUUGGAGUACUAAAGUUAACUCACAAUCACUUACACAAUGGGUAAGCAACUCAUUUCUAUCCAAUUUAUUCUUACAAAGUGUUUGGAUUGCUAAAUUAUCCCAAAUAAUAUUUCGCUUGUAUCGUAAACACAUUUCCCAAUUCAUCUUUUUAUAUUUCCAACUACUUUUUAUCUCACACACAUCAUAUUACAAAAAGUAUUACAAUAAUUAUUUCAAAAAAUACUCUAUCCAAACACUAGUCAUUAUUUCCGAAAAAAAAAAAAUUACACUCAUCUAAGACUUGUGGAGUCAGAUAAAAGAUUUCUUGAAAAAUAAAAAUAUAAUAACACUUUUUGUGAUAUGACUUGACAGAUUGAAGACGCGUACUCU